Molecule: ribosomal RNA, 301 nt
Filed under: uncultured bacterium
Lineage: Bacteria
Description: partial 16S ribosomal RNA
Rfam family: Bacterial small subunit ribosomal RNA
Source: RNAcentral
CAGUCGCCGCGGGAAUACGUAGGGUGCGAGCGUUAAUCGGAAUUACUGGGCGUAAAGCGUGCGCAGGCGGUUUUGUAAGACAGGCGUGAAAUCCCCGGGCUCAACCUGGGAAUGGCGCUUGUGACUGCAAAGCUAGAGUGCGGCAGAGGGGGAUGGAAUUCCGCGUGUAGCAGUGAAAUGCGUAGAUAUGCGGAGGAACACCGAUGGCGAAGGCAAUCCCCUGGGCCUGCACUGACGCUCAUGCACGAAAGCGUGGGGAGCGAACAGGAUUAGAUACCCCCGUAGUCCCUGUCUCUUAUAC